AGAAUCAACGCUGGCGGCGUGCCUAACACAUGCAAGUCGAACGAGAAAGUGGAGCAAUCCAUGAGUAAAGUGGCGCACGGGUGAGUAACACGUGACUAACCUACCUUUUAGUGGGGGAUAACCUAGGGAAACCUGGGCUAAUACCGCAUAAUACCUACGGGUCAAAGCAGCAAUGCGCUGGAAGAGGGGGUCGCGGUCGAUUAGUUAGUUGGCAGGGUAAUGGCCUACCAAGACUGUGAUCGAUAUCCGGCCUGAGAGGGCGCACGGACACACUGGAACUGAAACACGGUCCAGACUCCUACGGGAGGCAGCAGUGGGGAAUUUUGCGCAAUGGGGGAAACCCUGACGCAGCAACGCCGCGUGGAGGAUGAAGUCCCUUGGGACGUAAACUCCUUUCGAUCGGGACGAUAAUGACGGUACCGGAAGAAGAAGCCCGGCUAACUUCGUGCCAGCAGCCGC
This 459-nucleotide ribosomal RNA is filed under the name uncultured bacterium. RNAcentral describes it as "SSU rRNA". It matches the Rfam family "Bacterial small subunit ribosomal RNA", at positions 26 to 518 of the family's 1533-position model. The record is from RNAcentral.